UUGUCCUCCCGGGUCAAAAUUGACCCACGGACAACAGGAGGGUUAAAACAUGUCUGCAUAGGAUCUUUAAGUAAGAGAUGUCAGUAUUUCUUCCACUGCUGCCUGCUGGCUGAGUUUGCAGCUGAUAAAAGGACAAAAGACUGAAACACAUCAGUAACUAAACAACGUAGCAAACUGUCUCUAGAUUAGUAUAUAAUUCACUUUCUUCAUGUGCUUAUAGAUCUGUUUGUGUUGCCUUUGUUUUGUCAUUUCAAUGAGUAAUUUAAAACUUUACGGAUCCUAAUUAAGAGCGAGUUGAAUCCGUUUCAGUCUUUGCGUUUCAUAAAGAACAAAUCAGUUUGCGAACGCUACGAGACAAAUUCUAACGGGAGAGAAAAGUAAGAAAAGAAUAAGUGCUGUUAAACUGCUGUUAAGCAGCAGCUCGUGUUUCACUCAGCGGCUCUCAGCUCCGAUGUGGAUCUAAUCUAUCUCUUCCUCCUGUGAUGUCCAUUUCCUGCGAGCACUCAGAGCCUCGCCGUCUAUCGGUUUUAUUCUCUCCUGAGCUUUUCUGGUACACUGAAGGCCUCGUCAGUCUCUGCCCGCUGUGCAUCAGCACUGAUGCAGAACAUUAGUGCACUUAGACACAUUAACUUAUUGAUGAUGACUGAAUAAGACUGUAGCGUCUGCUGAGUGGAGUCUUAUCAGUUCAUCCUGAUAAAAAUGAACUAAUUAUACUGAUUCUAUUUCAAGUUCAGUAUAUAUAUAAGAUUUGCACUGGUACCUCAUGAUCCAGGAAAUAGCCGCAGCCUCCGACUCACUGCUUAUUCAGCAUUUAUAUGUCACCAAACUAACCGCCAAUGAUCAAUAUGGAAGCAUUAAAACCUUUAACUGCUGUUCAGCAUUACAAACCUGUAAACUCAACCUGCUACCUGGUACAGACUUACUGUCCUUCACACUUCUUGUACAUGCUGAACAGCUGCCGGUCUAUUGGCUAUUAGACCCCAUCAUGAUGUCGCUGGAUAUGAAAGGGGGGAGGUGAGUGUGAGAGUAGUAUAGGAUAACCCCCCCCCACCCCCCCGAUGGAGUCUAGACACUGGUGAUGGUGAUGAAGAGGCGUAGAUCUUGGUGGUGUGGUAGCGGCUUCUGGUGAACUCGGGCCUGGUGCUGAAGUAAUGGAGUGGAGAAGAUGUUGAUCUGGGAUGAGGAGGAUGGAACUUCUGGGAUGCGGCCGUGGAGGUGGAUGGAUGGGGUGGAGCUGACAGCGACAAAGAGGGAAACGGAUUUUAAAGUUUGACAGGUGAGCCGUGAUUGGUGGUUAGAAAUCGUGGAGCAAUCUGAUUUGAUAACUAGGAGCGACGCCCCUAAACAGCUGAUGCGAAAGUGAGAAGAGCGGGGGAAGAAAGAGAGGAAGAGGAGAGGGAAAUGAAGCUUCAUAUGUGUUAAGACAAAGUCAGUAACAAAUGAAAUGCAUCAAACAUAAAGGCAUUUACUUUAACACUUAUCUUUAAAUAGCAGAUUCAUCAUAACUAAUACUAAUUUUUAAAGAGCUUUAAACUUAUAACCAGUCUGCUGGAGUAAAAGCUGCUCUGCUACAUCGUCUCUAUCUUCCAUAUGAAGUUAGUGGAAAUAAAAGGUUCUAUAUAAAUAGUCCAACAUUACUCAGCUGUGACAUUGUGGAUCUGUGUAUGUACACAUGGUAUAUAAUCGCUAUAACCACUGUCAGCCUGUUUCCUGUCCAUAUUUUUCCAUUUUAACUCUCUGAGAGUGAAGCUGUCUCUGCUGUAGACGUGGACGCUGCAGGAGGUCGUUGGCGUCUAUAAAAGGACAUCGAUUCUGUACCCAGUUCAUUACCGUUCAAUGGAACAAAUCAACUGAGUAAUGUAGUGAACUCUGAAGCAGCUUCUGACUGCCAUGACUCAUUUUUUAGGAAAUUUUCCAUCUGAACUGAUGUUCGGUGUUCGGUGAGGACAUAUUUUAUGAAGAAGUGAUGUAAUUUACUUUUUUUCCAUUUCCUGCCUCUUGACCUCCUCCAGAGAUGAGAUGUAAUGUGUUGUUGUCAGCUGCUGGUUGCAUCUCUGAGUUAAGAGGAAAAUCGUUUUUCUAGUUUAGAGAAUGUGAAUCACACAAAUACUGUGUUUUAUCUUUUCCUGAUGCAGCAGUGCAUUCUGGUCCGUUUCCUGCUUGUUUGGGUGUUGAAGAAUUUCCUCUAAUGGAUUUCUGUCUCUAUGAUUGUUGGUUAAAAAUGGCAGAAAGAAGCUCUUUGUCUUCAAUUUGAAAGUUUGAAAGGAGGUUAUUUUCUUUUGUUUUUCCAAACCCAUCAGGUUGCAGGUAAUAGUUGAUGUUUUUCAUGAUGAUGGGAGACGUUGAUUUAAGACUUUAUUCAAACAUCGGUUUGUGCAGAUCUGAACUCAGCAGUCGUACUCGGACCAAAGUGCUCUCAGUCUGCUUACAUACAGAUUCUGGGGCAGUUUGCUUGUGGUGGAAACGUGAUCCGACCUCCAUCUGACCGACUACAAAGCUGCAAGCAGGAGCGCUUUGCAUGCAGAUAGCUGGAGAAUGAAUGGAGGUUCAACCUGGAAUAACAACUAAAUCAUUAUGGACGGCGAUUAGAUGGACCAUGAUAAGAAAAAGCUUUUAACGCGUCUAAACACGGCAGAAGAUCAUUUCAGCUGUUCAGACGGGCGACAGUCUCCGUCUGAAAGGAGCGAAGGAGGAGAAGAGAAGCAGAAGAGAUAAUAGAUGUGAAACAGCGGCUGAGGGAGAAAAUAAAGAAGAAGAACUGACAAAGGACAAAGCUUUCUAAUAAUAACAGUAAAUAUAAAAGCUGCAUCAUAUUCACAAUAGAGAAACACUGGAGGAGACUGUCUGCAAAUGAGGGUCAGAAAACAAAAACUGUUGGUUUUUGUGGUGAUAAAAAACCUUUCAAAUGUUUUUACCUUCUGCAAAUGUACGUCAUUUAUCAACUAAUUUAAGCUCUGCUACUCCACAAAUCUUUUAUUCUGGGAAGUUUUUAAACUAAUAAAAUCACCCUUGUUUCAA
Thunnus maccoyii (southern bluefin tuna) is the source of this 3018-nucleotide long non-coding RNA. RefSeq lists it as uncharacterized. The transcript is spliced from 2 exons. Lineage: Eukaryota; Metazoa; Chordata; Actinopteri; Scombriformes; Scombridae. The record is from RefSeq and is a predicted model, not a curated record.